Molecule: ribosomal RNA, 250 nt
Filed under: uncultured bacterium
Lineage: Bacteria
Description: partial 16S ribosomal RNA
Rfam family: Bacterial small subunit ribosomal RNA
Source: RNAcentral
UACAGAGGGUGCAAGCGUUAAUCGGAUUUACUGGGCGUAAAGGGCGCGUAGGUGGUUGUUUAAGUUAGAUGUGAAAUCCCUGGGCUUAACCUAGGAACUGCAUCUGAUACUGGAUGACUAGAGUACUGUAGAGGGUAGUGGAAUUUCCGGUGUAGCGGUGAAAUGCGUAGAGAUCGGAAGGAACACCAGUGGCGAAGGCGGCUACCUGGACAGAUACUGACACUGAGGCGCGAGAGCGUGGGGAGCAAAC